AUUUACCACAAGGGGAGCCAGUGGCUGAGAUUGAACAUAUUGAAAUUGUUCUGACCCUUUGAACCUGUUAGUUAACACUAGUGUAGGGAUGUGGAUGGUCAUAAUU
This 106-nucleotide non-coding RNA is filed under the name Bacillus sp. (in: firmicutes). RNAcentral describes it as "Bacillus sp. TPP sequence". It matches the Rfam family "TPP riboswitch aptamer (THI element)". Rfam says of the family: Vitamin B(1) in its active form thiamin pyrophosphate (TPP) is an essential coenzyme that is synthesised by coupling of pyrimidine and thiazole moieties in bacteria. The previously detected thiamin-regulatory element, thi box was extended, resulting in a new, highly conserved RNA secondary structure, the THI element, which is widely distributed in eubacteria and also occurs in some archaea. The record is from RNAcentral. Lineage: Bacteria; Bacillati; Bacillota; Bacilli; Caryophanales; Bacillaceae.